CUGGGGUGGCAGCAGCGCAUACCCAGUGAUUUUUCCCUCACUCUGUCAAGCUCACCUCACAGUGUAGAGCUCUGAAAUUAAAGAACGGGGUAUUUUCCGAUUAGUGGAAGAACUCAAACAUGUUGUUCUCCAGCUUUCUGAAGGCGGUCAUGGCUUCAACGUGGCUAGGAUCCAGUAUUGCCCAGAAAGUAACUCAAGCCCAACCAGCAAUGUUAGUGCAGGAGAAGGAGGCUGUGACCUUGAAGUGCAGAUAUGAUACCAGUGAUGGACGUUAUAGUCUAUUUUGGUACAAGCAGCCUAGCAGUGGGGCAAUGAUUUUCCUUAUUCGCCAGGACUCUUAUAACCAGCAAAAUGCCACAGAAGGUCGCUAUUCGUUGAAUUUCCAGAAGGCAAACAAAUCCAUCAACCUUGCCAUCUCAGCUUCACAGCUGGAGGACUCUGCAGUGUAUUUCUGUGCACUGAUGGAGCCCACAGUGAGAGAUGUGUUGGAGGAGGUGUACCAAAACCCCAGGGUUCUGCCUGAUACAUGCACCUGAUGUAGGGACCAAAGCAGAGAAUUGCCAUCACAGACAGAAAGUUGCUAGGGCUGUGGAAGCACAGGUGUGUGAUUAGAGGGACAGCACCCAAUCUAAGAAAAUACCUUUCCAGAUUCAUAGACCAUGUCCAGAGUUAUCAUUCAUGAAAAACCUCCUUAUCCCUGAAUCAUUGGCUUGAAGGUAGACUUCAGAAUUUGACCAAAGAUUGAAGAGAAAGAGCAGCCACAUAAAAUCUUUGCCAUUUUAUAAUUAGAUUGUGCUAGAAGAAUUGACUAAGGGAUUUCAAAAACACA
This is a non-coding RNA of Equus caballus (horse), 829 nucleotides long. Lineage: Eukaryota; Metazoa; Chordata; Mammalia; Perissodactyla; Equidae. The record is from the annotation of a RefSeq genome assembly.